Molecule: ribosomal RNA, 251 nt
Filed under: uncultured prokaryote
Description: partial 16S rRNA
Rfam family: Bacterial small subunit ribosomal RNA
Source: RNAcentral
ACGGAGGAUGCAAGCGUUAUCCGGAUUCAUUGGGUUUAAAGGGUGCGCAGGCGGAAUGAUAAGUCAGUGGUGAAAUCCUACGGCUCAACUGUAGAACUGCAAUUGAUACUGUUGAUCUUGAGUACACUUGGAGUGGGCAGAAUGUGACAUGUAGCGGUGAAAUGCUUAGAUAUGUCACAGAACACCGAUGGCGAAGGCAGCCCACUGAGUUGUAACUGACGCUCAGGUACGAAAGCGUGGGGAUCAAACAG